RNAcentral lists this ribosomal RNA (1352 nucleotides) under metagenome. RNAcentral's name for it is "bacterial LSU rRNA". It matches the Rfam family "Bacterial large subunit ribosomal RNA", at positions 1564 to 2925 of the family's 2925-position model. The record is from RNAcentral.
UGAAUACGAAAUGCUACGGCAUUGAAGUGAUCUAUGCCAGGCUUCCAAGAAAAUCUCGUCAUAUCUUAAGCAGUAGAUGCCUGUACCUUAAACCGACACAGGUAGGUAGGUAGAGUAUACCAAGGGGCGCGAGAUAACUCUCUCUAAGGAACUCGGCAAAAUAACCUCGUAACUUCGGAAGAAGAGGUACCCUUGAAAAAGGGUUGCAAUAACCAGACCCUGGCGACUGUUUACCAAAAACACAGGUCUCCGCUAAUUCGUAAGAUCAAGUAUGGAGGCUGACGCCUGCCCAGUGCCGGAAGGUUAAAGAAGUUGGUCAAUCUUUGGAUGAAGCUGGCGACUGAAGCCCCGGUGAACGGCGGCCGUAACAAUAACGGUCCUAAGGUAGCGAAGUUCCUUGUCGGGUAAGUUCCGACCCGCACGAAAGGCGUAACGAUCAGGGUGCUGUCUCGGAGAGAGACUCGGCGAAAUAGACAUGUCUGUGAAGAUGCGGACUACCUGCACCUGGACAGAAAGACCCUAUGAAGCUUUACUGUAUCUUGGAAUUGGGUUUGGGCCUUGCUUGCGCAGGAUAGGUGGGAGGCUGUGAAGAUAUUCUUGCGGGAAUGUUGGAGCCAACGGUGAGAUACCACUCUAGUAAGGCUAAAAUUCUAACUCUGAACCGUUAUCCGGUCAGAGAACAGUUUCAGGUGGGCAGUUUGACUGGGGCGGUCGCCUCCUAAAAGGUAACGGAGGCGCGCAAAGGUUCCCUCAGGCUGGUUGGACAUCAGUCGUAGAGUGUAAAGGCAUAAGGGAGCUUGACUGCGAGACCCACAAGUCGAGCAGAGACGAAAGUCGGCCUUAGUGAUCCGACGGUUCCACGUGGAAGGGCCGUCGCUCAACGGAUAAAAGUUACUCUAGGAUAACAGGCUGAUCUCCCCCAAGAGUUCACAUCGACGGGGAGGUUUGGCACCUCGAUGUCGGCUCAUCGCAUCCUGGGGCGGUAGUACGUCCCAAGGGUUGGGCUGUUCGCCCAUGAAAGCGGUACGCGAGCUGGGUUCAGAACGUCGUGAGACAGUUCGGCCCAUAUCCGGUGCAGGCGUUAGAGCAUUGAGAGGAGUCCCCCUUAGUACGAGAGGACCGGGGGGAAUACACCGCUGGUGUACCAGUUAUCGUGCCAACGGUAAACGCUGGGUAGCCAUGUGUAGCGCGGAUAACUGCUGAAAGCAUCUAAGUAGGAAGCCCACCUUAAGAUGAGUGCUCUCACCGCUAUAAGCGGUAAGGUCACGGUAAGAACAACCGUUAUAUAGGCAUUAAGUAUACGUGCAGUAAUGCAUUUAGCUGAGAUGUACUAACAGACCGAGGGCUUGAUC